GGUGUCGGGGCCGGAUUUCCGGGACAUAAAUCCCAGUAAACAACCAUUGUGUCAUCACCAGCCCCAGGAUUACUGUUGCUGGUGGACAUUUCCUUGAUAUAGAAUUCCAAGCAAUUACAAGAGAUUGGAUACAAGACCACAAAGGUCCAAUGAAUAUAACAAGGAUCUCUAGUGGUGGAUGACGGAAGCGACUCGUGGAUCUCCAAUGUUGAUGGGACUCCAUUCCCACGGGAACAGCUGACCUGGAUAACUCCUAUCUCACGUGGCUGUUAUCUCCGAAUCCUAGGUUGCGGGGGAGUCUCCGUAAUGCUCCUCUCUGAGUCAUGAUCUGGCCAAGACAAUAGCCAGGGACAAGCCAGUGAGUACGUUUGAAUGUACUCGCAAACAUCAAGAACAAAAGAUAUACCGGAUACAUAUGCUCAUGAUGAAUUAAAUUGCAUGCAUGUGCUGACUGAGUAUUAAAGCAUGGCAUGACAAAUAUUCAUACAGAAAAUAAGUCAUGUUAUUAGUAAAUCAAAGAAAUGAAAUGGAACGUUGGGCGUUGGACCGCCCAAGAAAUUCUAAGAGAAAUGCCAAACAGGUGUCUAAAAGAGAAUCGGGCAAGACAAGACCGCCCGAGAACUCAAGCGGCGCCACGAGAGGUCUUGAAAAGAAAUGCCAAACGGGUGUCUAAAAGCGACACCUCGUAAGGUCUUGAAAAUGAAUGCCACAGUCUGGUGUCUGAGCGACGCCUCAUAAAGGGCUUAUAAGAAAAUAAUAACAUGAUUAUCCAGGUGGACUAGCCAUCCCAAGUGAUACUCAGAGAUGAAAAAAAUAAACUUGAGUAUCCCGGGUAGUCUAGCCAUCCCAAGAGAUACUCAAGGUUAAACAUAAGAGGAAAAGGUUAGUCCACAACAAUAUUCAUAUCAUCAAUAAUAUUCAAAAUGGCACCAUUAGUGACAAUAAUUACCCUGCAGAACGAUCCAUGAUCAAUUUAGUUAUUUCCUCCGGAGACUGACACUAAGACCGACACUUGACCAACCCAGACUGUAGUCCUUAACCAUGGACACGGCUAUUCGAAUAGAUAUAACUCUGCAGAGGGUGUACUCUUUACCCACGUGUAUAGGAUUUCUUUAGCCAGCACCGAGACGCUGACUAAUUCCCGUUACGGCCUUUGGAUUGAAAACAAACCUGACCAGCACACACCAGAUUAACUUUCCGGAUGCCAGGAAUCACCCAAAGCAUCGUUCAAGAGAAACUCUAAGGCGGGGAGACCAUCGUCUUGAGUAGCAUGGGAUCACUAUUAACAUGCGCGGAUUACAAGGGGUGCCCCCCUCUCGGCCCAGCCGGAUACACCCAUGCCCCCUGGCCCGAUGACUGGCAUUGCAGCCGAUACCUGGAAACCCUCAUCGUGACCUCUCUGUACGGUGUGUGCAGGGAAAGGGGUUAACAACUUACUGAACCGUACCCAGCCUGUGGCCGGGACAAGUGGUAGCACGAAACCAGUAUGGGGGUUACCGGAACAAGACCCGAUCUAUGGUCAACUCAGGAGGUUUAAGUUUGCCUACAGUGGUUCGCAUAAUAUAAAUCCUUGGCAGUACCCAACAGGAUAACCACCUGGUAUGUCCCAACAUACCCUCAAUGAUCACUCUCGUCACAACGAGAUUUCAGUCUCACAGUCACUUUUCUCGUGACUGAUUCUUCCUGCAAAUUAUCCUGGACCAACACAGGCACAUAUGGAACGUGAAAGUAACUGUACUCACUUAUACUUCAUGUUUAAGUGAACAGAAAAUACCAUCAAGGGGAUCAUGCAUGUAUGACCAACAAUAUGCAAACUCUAUAGGAAUUCAACAUGUUCAUAAUUCAAAUACACAUGCCAUAAAUAAUUAUGCAGUCACCAUAUCAUGUGUUCAAAAUGCUUGCCUUGAGCAUGCAGAAAUGUUGUGUGCACUCCAAAACUUUGAAAAUUAUAUCUCCCCUCCAUUUCCUAUUUUCAAAAUAUUUUAAUGACCACACAUUUCCAAAACAGUACAUAAAAGUUGUUUGGAAAUUUGUGAAAUAAAUACUAAAAUAAACUAGAUGAAAUUUGAGAGAUAACAGAAAAAGAGUCAAGUCAUUUAAAGUUUAUAUAAUUUUCCUAUGGAUUUACUAAGCUGAAAUAAUCAAGGAAAUAGAUUGUUUAUUAGAUCCAGCAAAAACCAGGCUUAGGAAAAAUGUUCACCCUAUCUGGAUAUAUAGAGCAUGAUUGUAGGAGUGGGCACAAAUUUGAAUCAUCAAAUUUUGAUGUGAAAUGGAUGCUGUGGAAUUAUUUGAAAUCUGGUGGACAAGAAAUAGGGAAACCGAUAUUACUGUGAUUGGCUGAGUAGAGACGCGCCCUGGCCGCGGUAUAGCCGCCUGGCGCUACUGGGCCAAGCCCAGUUGUUUGGCUGCGUGGGAGGGCUGCGACGCCGAAAGCGUAGUCCAAGAAAUACACUUUCCACGCAGGAAGGCAACUUCAACGGAACUCGUCUCCACUUAAGACGAGUUGGCACGGCGCUGAGUCACUGACGGUGGGCCCGCCCGGCCCACCGGUCAGGUUUGACCAGUCCACGCGCGCGCCGUCUCCUCCGACCGAACAGAGGCGGAGCUCCGGCGAUCGGUGCCGGUGAACGGUGGCACCGUUCGGAAAACCGAGGCCACCUUCGAGCUCAGGAGGUCGAGGCGAACCCGUGGGUACCCUCCUUGGUCGUCGGAGUGGACGGAGUCACCGGCGGCGAGCUCUUCGGUGGACGGUGGCGUCGGGUGGGAUUGAGCUUUCGCCUACGGCGGCUCCUGAGCAGAAUCGAGAGGUGGGUUGGAUUCGUGGGUGCUCCAGGGUGCUGUUGGUGAAGAGAGUGGAGAGGGGGAGGCCCUAAUGGCGUCGACAUGAACGAGAAAGAGGCGGCGGCCGUGGUUGCCGGAGUUGGGGAAGAUGACCCGCUCCGAUCGUUCUACCGCUAUGGGUGGGUUAGUGAGGGAGGGAGAGAGUUGGUGAUGUACUGCGAGGUCUCAGGGUAAGCUUUUAUAGUGCGAGG
RNAcentral lists this long non-coding RNA (3032 nucleotides) under Triticum aestivum (bread wheat). Its description in RNAcentral is "long non-coding RNA (TAES_LNC017939)". The record is from RNAcentral. Lineage: Eukaryota; Viridiplantae; Streptophyta; Magnoliopsida; Poales; Poaceae.